GGGGGGAGCAAGCGUUGUUCGGAUUUACUGGGCGUAAAGGGCGCGUAGGCGGCCACCGCAAGUCGACUGUGAAAUCUCCGAGCUUAACUCGGAAAGGUCAACUGAUACUGUGCGGCUAGAGUGCGGAAGGGGCAACUGGAAUUCUUGGUGUAGCGGUGAAAUGCGUAGAUAUCAAGAGGAACACCUGCGGSGAAGGCGGGUUGCUGGGCCGACACUGACGCUGAGGCGCGAAAGCCAGGGGAGCGAACGGGAUUAGAUACCCCGGUAGUCCUGGCCUUAAACGAUGAAUGCUUGGUGUCUGGGGUUAUAUAGUCCCCGGGUGCCGUCGCUAACGCUUUAAGCAUUCCGCCUGGGGAGUACGGUCGCAAGACUG
RNAcentral lists this ribosomal RNA (373 nucleotides) under uncultured bacterium. Its description in RNAcentral is "bacterial SSU rRNA". It matches the Rfam family "Bacterial small subunit ribosomal RNA", at positions 527 to 896 of the family's 1533-position model. The record is from RNAcentral.